RNAcentral lists this ribosomal RNA (305 nucleotides) under uncultured bacterium. Its description in RNAcentral is "bacterial SSU rRNA". It matches the Rfam family "Bacterial small subunit ribosomal RNA", at positions 333 to 655 of the family's 1533-position model. The record is from RNAcentral.
UGUGUCCUACGGGGGGCAGCAGUGGGGAAUAUUGCACAAUGGGCGAAAGCCUGAUGCAGCGACGCCGCGUGAGCGAAGAAGUAUCUCGGUAUGUAAAGCUCUAUCAGCAGGGAAGAAAAUGACGGUACCUGACUAAGAAGCCCCGGCUAACUACGUGCCAGCAGCCGCGGUAAUACGUAGGGGGCAAGCGUUAUCCGGAUUUACUGGGUGUAAAGGGAGCGUAGACGGCAGUGCAAGUCUGGAGCGAAAGCCUGGGGCUCAACCCCGGAACUGCUUUGGAAACUGUGCUGCUUGAGUACCGGAGG